RNAcentral lists this ribosomal RNA (497 nucleotides) under uncultured bacterium. Its description in RNAcentral is "partial 16S ribosomal RNA". It matches the Rfam family "Bacterial small subunit ribosomal RNA", at positions 28 to 507 of the family's 1533-position model. The record is from RNAcentral.
GAUGAACGCUGGCGGCGUGCCUAAUACAUGCAAGUCGAGCGAACAGACGAGGAGCUUGCUCCUUCGACGUUAGCGGCGGACGGGUGAGUAACACGUAGGUAACCUACCUAUAAGACUGGGAUAACUUCGGGAAACCGGAGCUAAUACCGGAUAAUAUUUCGAACCGCAUGGUUCGAUAGUGAAAGAUGGCUUUGCUUUCACUUAUAGAUGGACCUGCGCCGUAUUAGCUAGUUGGUAAGGUAACGGCUUACCAAGGCAACGAUACGUAGCCGACCUGAGAGGGUGAUCGGCCACACUGGAACUGAGACACGGUCCAGACUCCUACGGGAGGCAGCAGUAGGGAAUCUUCCGCAAUGGGCGAAAGCCUGACGGAGCAACGCCGCGUGAGUGAUGAAGGUCUUCGGAUCGUAAAACUCUGUUAUUAGGGAAGAACAAACGUGUAAGUAACUGUGCACGUCUUGACGGUACCUAAUCAGAAAGCCACGGCUAACUACGUG